Molecule: long non-coding RNA, 1403 nt
Organism: Hirundo rustica (Barn swallow)
Lineage: Eukaryota; Metazoa; Chordata; Aves; Passeriformes; Hirundinidae
Exons: 4
Source: RefSeq, a predicted model, not a curated record
GGUUGAUGUGGGAAGAGCUCAAAUACCCGGGGAAUGAGUGGAGAAGAGCUCUUGGUGAGAGGGGUCACUCUGAGUUCUGUGUUGGGGACAGCUGUGGUGGUGUUGGGAGGACCUGAUGCCUGCACACCUUCUGAGUUUCCUCUUCAGCUCAGUUGUUUCAAGCUUCUGCCUGUUAAAUCCUGGAGGCUGGUAAGGCUGGGUGCUUUGUAAGCUUGGUUUUCUCCAGCUCUUUCUCUAGGGAGAAGUGUGAAUCCCAGAUGCUACAAAAGUAUUUUUCCAGACACGGCUGUGCUGUCUUGCUGUGCAUUUUCCACCAAAUUGCUGAAUUACUGUUCUCCUUCUGGCCCUCAAUUUUUUAGGAAACUUGUAAACACGAACUUCCUGUUGACACGAGCUGUAAAUCUGCAAAUAGGCUCUGCUUCCGGCAGGAGGGGAAGGCACCCAAACACAGAUGCAAUGCUAAUAGAAUCCAGUUGGAGGAUGUCAAAACCCUGAUGACUCCAAAAUGAUGCUUCAUUGCUUGUUUUUGCCUUUCCUUUCUCACUGCCUCUCCCUGCACUGAGCUGAUCUUCGGUUUUGGGGAGUUAACUCUGUCUUACAUCCACACCAGGCAUUUUGGGAUAAAGAGCUGGCAGCUAUUGGCAGAGCUUGCCAUUAAGUUCGCCACACCACACAUUUUUGGGAGGCUGUUGCAUGCUUUAAUUCUGAGAGGGUAACAGGGUCAGGUAGCAGACACCUGGGCAGGUGGCUGAGCUCGCUCAGCAGAUUCCAUGGGCUUCCAGUGGUUGGGAGGACAGCAAUGGUUUUCAGGAUCAGCUGUUGGGAAUUCUCUGUGCUGUCAGGAAAAGGAUGGAGGCAGACAAGUAGCAGAAAGUGCAGAAGGGAAGCAAAAAUAAGGCCAAAAAAAAAGAGGCAGAUUAAAAGAAGAGAUUAAAAGCACGGCAGUGGAAACGGAAAAAGGAUAAAAAAACAAAAAAGGAAGAAGCGGUUACAGGACGUGGCAACACGGAGCAACGGGCAGGAUAAAAGGAGAGUCUGGAUGGAGGCUGAGCUCUCUUAAUAAGCAUCCCAUUAAUUAAUCUCCUCUCGUGCGGCAGCACGGGGCUGUGGACGAUGUCCAGCCCUCUCCCCUGCCCUCUGCCCGCCGCCCGGGCUGGCUUUGCGUUGGCUCGCUGCCGCAGCCCGACCGCAGCCUUGCCGGGCGGGAUGGGAGGCACAUGGCAGCGGUGAAAGGGGAGCCUCUCGCCCUCCCUGUGCCUGGGUGGGCGUGCUGGGCCUUUCGUAAACUAAUAGCUCCCAGCAGUGCUCCUAAAUCAGACUUCGUGGAGCCGGGAGCGCAGCGCUGGAAUGCCGGGCCAGGCGCAAAGGGCUGCGCUGGGCUCUUUCUUCUUUUUUUUUUAUUU